UGGAUAGCAAAUUAUCUUAACCAUGUUUACUAAGUAGUCCAUACCUUUGUCACUGAAUUAAACGUAUCAUCUUUUUCUUAUACAAAAUUCUAAUUCAUACGAAUUUGUAUCUGAAACUCCCUUUUCUGAUUUGAUUACUUUGUUUAUUCCUGGGCUAUCACGACACUUUUAAUCAGGUGAGAAAUCCUUUUGUGCCCACUUAACAACCCAGGAAAUCAAGGUCUCAAAGACUGUUCUCAGUUCAUUUUAUAAGGCCCUGAUACUGAAACCAAACAGAGUAAAAAAGAAACUAGUAAAGUUCAUGUCAAUUUCUCUUAUGAACUUCAAUGCAAAAAUCCUUAACAAAAUUGAAUCCAAGUGUGUAUAAGAAGAAUUCUAUAUCAUAACCAAGUGGGAUUUAUUCCAGGUGGGCAAGGCUGGCUCAACAUUUGAAAAUCAAUCAGUGAUAUCAAUUCACCAUAUCAUAGGAUCAUGUCAUUUCAUGCAGAAAAAGCAUAUGACAAAAUCUUACACACAUUUAUUAUAAAAACUCAAAGCAAGUUAGGAAUAGAUGAAAUUACCUCAAUUAGAUUUUUUAAAAAAUCUAUAAAAACCCUGCAGCUAAUAUAUUUAAAGGUGAAAGACUGAUUGCUUUUCUGCUAAGAUCAGGAAUAAGGCAAAUAUAUCUGCUCUCACCACUCAUCCAACAUGGUAUUGAAAGUUCUAGCCACUUUGUGGUAGCGGGCGCCUGUAGUCCCAGCUACUUGGGAGGCUGAGGCAGGAGAAUGGCGUGAACCUGGGAGGCGGAGCUUGCAGUGAGCCGAGAUCGCGCCACUGCACUCCAGCCUGAAAAAAAAAAAAAAAAAAAAGAAAUAAGACAAGAAAAAAAUAAUGAAAGACAUACAGAUUGGAAAGGAAGAAAUAAAACUGUCACUAUUUGCAGAUAACAUGAUUGUUUACUCAGAAAAUUCCUAGAAGUGAGAAGCAAAUUCAGCAUGGUUGAAGUAUACAAGAUCAACACGAAAACAGACCCACACAAAUAUGCCUGCUGGAAUUUUAAAAAAUAAAUCUGCAAAAGCAAUUCAAUGGAGGAAAAAGAACCUUUCCAACAAAUGAUGCUAUAACAAUUGGGUAUCCACAGGCAAAAACUGUACCUCAACCUAAACUUCACAUCUCAGAAACAAAUUAACUGAAAAUGGAUCACAGAUACAAUGUAAAAUGUAAAACUAAACUCACUUUUAAAAUUAAAGAAAAUCUUCCAGAUUUAGGGCUGGGCGAAAGUUCUUACACU
This 1270-nucleotide long non-coding RNA is filed under the name Homo sapiens (human). Its description in RNAcentral is "non-protein coding lnc-ABHD5-2:1". The record is from RNAcentral. Lineage: Eukaryota; Metazoa; Chordata; Mammalia; Primates; Hominidae.